RNAcentral lists this ribosomal RNA (351 nucleotides) under Pseudomonadota bacterium. RNAcentral's name for it is "bacterial SSU rRNA". It matches the Rfam family "Bacterial small subunit ribosomal RNA", at positions 1 to 377 of the family's 1533-position model. The record is from RNAcentral. Lineage: Bacteria; Pseudomonadati; Pseudomonadota.
AAAUUUGAGAGUUUGAUCCUAGCUCAGAACGAACGCUGGCGGUAUGCUUAACACAUGCAAGUCGAACGGGUGUAGCAAUACAUCAGUGGCAAACGGGUGAGGAAUAUAGAGGAAUCUCCCCAACAGUAAGGAAUAACUCUGAGAAAUCAGUGCUAAUGCCAUAUAUUACCCUCCGGGGGAAAGAUUUAUCGCUGUUGGAUGAGCCUCUAUCGGAUUAGCUAGUUGGUAGGGUAAUGGCCUACCAAGGCGAUGAUCCGUAGCUGGUCUGAGAGGAUGAUCAGCCACACUGGAACUGAGACACGGUCCAGACUCCUACGGGAGGCAGCAGUGGGGAAUAUUGGACAAUGGGCG